AUUGAACGCUGGCGGCAUGCCUUACACAUGCAAGUCGAACGGCAGCACGGGUGCUUGCACCUGGUGGCGAGUGGCGAACGGGUGAGUAAUACAUCGGAACAUGUCCUGUAGUGGGGGAUAGCCCGGCGAAAGCCGGAUUAAUACCGCAUACGAUCUACGGAUGAAAGCGGGGGACCUUCGGGCCUCGCGCUAUAGGGUUGGCCGAUGGCUGAUUAGCUAGUUGGUGGGGUAAAGGCCUACCAAGGCGACGAUCAGUAGCUGGUCUGAGAGGACGACCAGCCACACUGGGACUGAGACACGGCCCAGACUCCUACGGGAGGCAGCAGUGGGGAAUUUUGGACAAUGGGCGAAAGCCUGAUCCAGCAAUGCCGCGUGUGUGAAGAAGGCCUUCGGGUUGUAAAGCACUUUUGUCCGGAAAGAAAUCCUU
This 427-nucleotide ribosomal RNA is filed under the name Burkholderiaceae bacterium Ellin5408. RNAcentral describes it as "bacterial SSU rRNA". It matches the Rfam family "Bacterial small subunit ribosomal RNA", at positions 30 to 455 of the family's 1533-position model. The record is from RNAcentral. Lineage: Bacteria; Pseudomonadati; Pseudomonadota; Betaproteobacteria; Burkholderiales; Burkholderiaceae.